This 352-nucleotide transfer-messenger RNA is filed under the name Candidatus Cloacimonadota bacterium. It matches the Rfam family "transfer-messenger RNA". Rfam says of the family: Bacterial tmRNA, also known as 10Sa RNA or SsrA, is named for its dual tRNA and mRNA-like properties. RNAcentral also lists the same sequence under 1 other name. Lineage: Bacteria; Pseudomonadati; Candidatus Cloacimonadota. The record is from RNAcentral.
GGGGGUGACCAGGUUUCGACAGGGAUAAAGGGGAUCGUCGAUGCAUGUCGAGGAGAUUACCUGCUCGUUAAAACGGUGAUAACUAAAUUUAAUCGCAGAUUACGAUUACGCAUUGGCUGCGUAAUAAGUAACCACAUUCUUUGCCUGUUUCGCUGUUAGGACUGCAAAAGAAUGCCAUUUAUAACAGCUAUAAACGGCAGAUGUCUAUAAUGUCGUUCGAAAACUUAUAGGCUGGCUUUCUGUCCGGUUUGACUGUUCUUCCUGUAGAAAGCGAGAUCAAAAACAGCUAAACAUGUAGAUUCGGCUUUUGACUUAUUUCUGGACGCGGGUUCGAUUCCCGCCACCUCCAGUC